UAAUACUCAUAGAUGGUGUUGUUGUUCUUCCUCUACUUCCAGUUCUACCAACUCCAGUCAUUGUAAUUGAAAACAAAAAAAUUUUCAAUAAAUUUGUUAAAAAAACAAUGAACUUAUUUAUUUAUUUUUAAAUUAUUCUGAUAAAUUUAUCAAAUUAUUGAGUAAUUAUGUUCAAAGAAAAUUUUUUUGAGUACAAAAAAUCAAUUGAAAAAUUUUUUAAAAAGAAAAAUGUCAGAUAUGGUCUCCCGUUUAUAUUAUUUUGCGUUUGCGCAUCUUUUGCAAUGACAUCAGUCACAGAAGUGAGGUACAAAUAUCGAGCAGUUAAAACAGUGAGAGAAGAAGCAAAAAACGAAGGAUUAGAAUUGAAAAAACCUGAGGAAACUACAAUAGAAGCGCAGUAUGAAAUAAUUAAAAAAGAGAUCGAUAUCGAUAACUGGGAAAAUAAGAGGAUUGAAAGGCCUUGGGAAGAAAACGACGAAAAUGCUGAAAAAAAAUAAACAUUUUAAUUAUUUACUUUGUAAAAUAAUGUAUAGUAAGUACUUUGAUAAAUAUAUUAUAUAAUUAAAUGUAAUUAAAAAAUAAUAGUUGUGAUAAUAUCGCAAGAGUGUUCAGUUUGUGAUGAUAUUGUUACGUGCUAUCAUUUACAUGUAAGGAGGGACGAUGUCAUCAUUAAGUAUUUUUUUUAAUUUAAAUGACGUAUAACUGCAAUGUACUUGACGAAAUCUUACCUAGUGUUAUCAUAAGAUUAUCGUGAAAGUCAUAAAAGAUAUAACGAGUUCACACGUGACUGCUUGCUGAUACUAAAUUUAAAAAAUGGGACAAAUACUGCAUCAAAAUAAAAAUAAAAUAAAUAUAACUUAUUGUUUGUCGACAAACAAAUUUACGAUACAUAAAAUAACUAUUAUUUCCUCGUUAAAUAUUUCCGAUUUACCCUAUUGCUGCACCGGUUUUAUUGGGAGGGUAAUUGAAACGCAUCGUUUGACCGCGAACUAAAAUAAACGUUAGGGGAUCCAGAAGACGGAUGUCGUGAGUGUAUGCGUUUAGGGCGACUCGUCAGCGCAAUCACCAGCAUCAUUAUCAACGUGGGACACUUUAGCUAAUUUAUAUUUUCACUGCGCAUUAUGUAUUUUAUUAAAUACACUCUUGCAGUUGCAUUAUCAAAUUAUUUAUAUAUUUAUUUAUUUAUCAUACCAACCGAUCACCAGUGAAGCAACCAAAUCAAUGGCAAAGUCUAUGACAUUACAUAUAAAAGUAACAAUGGUUAUUAUCUAUUUAGAAUCGAACCUCUUGCAUGCAGCAACUUCAUUAAAAUAUUAUUUUAUACACAUUAUUUUUUUUUUAACAUUAUUUUCUUGUUUAUCAAUAGGGAUAAUUUGUAAAUAGAUUAAAUUAC
Molecule: RNA transcript, 1393 nt
Organism: Microplitis mediator
Lineage: Eukaryota; Metazoa; Arthropoda; Insecta; Hymenoptera; Braconidae
Gene: l(3)neo43
Gene name: cytochrome c oxidase assembly protein COX16 homolog, mitochondrial
Exons: 5
Source: RefSeq, a predicted model, not a curated record